GUCGACCUGUUAUCGCGAAAGGCCGCUGCCUUACUCGACUUCGGGCGAGACAGUAAAAGCUUCACCAUCGUUGCUUCCCCUCGGUUUGACGGAACAGGAAGUCACCCCUCUCCCGGUUUACAGAAACAGGUGAACAAGAAUGGUAGUGGAGGAAUUAAGACAAGGCUUACCUCUUGAAGAAGUGCAAGCAACAGCAAAUCAACUCUCUUUCUCUCUCUCAUUUCUGGUUUCUAGUGUCCAAGGAAAUGAGUGAAGGGAGUUUGUUGGCUGAAAUGGUAAAGGAUAUCGGAGGUGGUGGUUGGCUAAAGAGAUAGGGCUGCCAUAGGGUGGCUGAAAGACCUCCUAGGUGUACCAUUGGCAUGGCUGGUACCGUAUGGAGUGCCCUAGUGCAUAGGCACAUCGUUUCUUUUCUUCCAUUGCUUUCUUUUUCUUCCUUAUUGCUAGCUGAUGAUGUAAUAGUUAGGUUGUAGAAGUAGAAAGUUGUAAAGUCUGAUGUGAUAAAUAAAAUCCUUCUGACUUGGUAAA
Salvia miltiorrhiza (redroot sage) is the source of this 525-nucleotide long non-coding RNA. RefSeq lists it as uncharacterized. The record is from RefSeq and is a predicted model, not a curated record. The transcript has 2 exons. Lineage: Eukaryota; Viridiplantae; Streptophyta; Magnoliopsida; Lamiales; Lamiaceae.